This 700-nucleotide ribosomal RNA is filed under the name uncultured bacterium. RNAcentral's name for it is "bacterial SSU rRNA". It matches the Rfam family "Bacterial small subunit ribosomal RNA", at positions 8 to 689 of the family's 1533-position model. The record is from RNAcentral.
AGAGUUUGAUCAUGGCUCAGAAUCAACGCUGGCGGCGUGCCUAACACAUGCAAGUCGAACGCGAAAAGGGCUUCGGCCCUGAGUAGAGUGGCGAACGGGUGAGUAACGCGUGGGUGACCUACCUUCGAGUGGGGGAUAACGUCCCGAAAGGGACGCUAAUACCGCAUAACAUCCUGCCUUUGAACAGGCGGAGAUCAAAGCCGGGGAUCGUAAGACCUGGCGCUUGAUGAGGGGCCCGCGUCUGAUUAGCUAGUUGGUGAGGUAAUGGCUCACCAAGGCGACGAUCAGUAUCCGGCCUGAGAGGGCGGACGGACACACUGGGACUGAGACACGGCCCAGACUCCUACGGGAGGCAGCAGUGGGGAAUUGUUCGCAAUGGGCGCAAGCCUGACGACGCAACGCCGCGUGGAGGAUGAAGGUCUUCGGAUUGUAAACUCCUGUUGCUCGGGAAGAAUGGCUCCGACCUAAUACGUCGGAGUGUGACGGUACCGGGUGAGGAAGCCCCGGCUAACUCUGUGCCAGCAGCCGCGGUAAUACAGAGGGGGCAAGCGUUGUUCGGAAUUACUGGGCGUAAAGGGCGCGUAGGCGGCCUCUUAAGUCGAACGUGAAAUCCCCGGGCUCAACCCGGGAACUGCGUCCGAUACUGGGAGGCUUGAAUCCGGGAGAGGGAUGUGGAAUUCCAGGUGUAGCGGUGAAAUGC